GGGUGAGUAAUGCGUAGGAAUCUACCUAGUAGUACGGAAUAGCCAUUAGAAAUGGUGGGUAAUACUGUAUAAUCCCCGAGGGGGAAAGAUUUAUCGCUAUUAGAUGAGCCUACGUUAGAUUAGCUAGUUGGUGAGGUAAUGGCUUACCAAGGCUAUGAUCUAUAGCUGGUCUGAGAGGACGAUCAGCCACACUGGAACUGAGAUACGGUCCAGACUCCUACGGGAGGCAGCAGUGGGGAAUAUUGGACAAUGGGCGAAAGCCUGAUCCAGCUAUGCCGCGUGAGUGAAGAAGGCCUUCGGGUUGUAAAACUCUUUCAAUAGGGAAGAUAAUGACGGUACCUAUAGAAGAAGUCCCGGCAAACUCUGUGCCAGCAGCCGCGGUAAUAC
RNAcentral lists this ribosomal RNA (387 nucleotides) under Ehrlichia canis. RNAcentral's name for it is "bacterial SSU rRNA". It matches the Rfam family "Bacterial small subunit ribosomal RNA", at positions 104 to 526 of the family's 1533-position model. Lineage: Bacteria; Pseudomonadati; Pseudomonadota; Alphaproteobacteria; Rickettsiales; Anaplasmataceae. The record is from RNAcentral.